CACUCCUGCGGGAGGCAGCAGUGAGGAAUAUUGGACAAUGGGUGGAAGCCUGAUCCAGCCAUCCCGCGUGCAGGAAGACGGCCCUAUGGGUUGUAAACUGCUUUUAUCUGGGGAUAAACCUACUUACGUGUAAGUAGCUGAAGGUACCAGAAGAAUAAGCACCGGCUAACUCCGUGCCAGCAGCCGCGGUAAUACGGAGGGUGCAAGCGUUAUCCGGAUUUAUUGGGUUUAAAGGGUCCGUAGGCGGACUGAUAAGUCAGUGGUGAAAUCCGACAGCUUAACUGUCGAACUGCCAUUGAUACUGUUAGUCUUGAGUAAGGUUGAAGUGGCUGGAAUAAGUAGUGUAGCGGUGAAAUGCAUAGAUAUUACUUAGAACACCAAUUGCGAAGGCAGGUCACUAAGUCUUAACUGACGCUGAUGGACGAAAGCGUGGGGAGCGAACAGGAUUAGAAACCCCAGUAGUCCC
RNAcentral lists this ribosomal RNA (466 nucleotides) under uncultured organism. Its description in RNAcentral is "partial 16S ribosomal RNA". It matches the Rfam family "Bacterial small subunit ribosomal RNA", at positions 334 to 797 of the family's 1533-position model. The record is from RNAcentral.